GAUAUAACUCUUUUUUAAAUCUAUUCAACACGCGUAACAUACGAGGUUUUUAAGGAUAUAAUUUUUUUUAUUAUUUGGUAGAGUUAUUCAACCUGAUUAUACACGAGUUUUUUAAAGAUACGACGUUUUUAGUAUUUAGUAUACAAAAUUACAUUUAUUUAAUCCGUGUAAUACACAUGGUUUUUAGAGAUACGACGCUUUUAGUAUUUAGUAUACAAAAUUACAUUUAUUUAACCCGUACAAUACACAUGGAUUAAAGAUAUAAUUUUUAAUUAUUAUUUGAUAUAUAAAAUUACAUCUAUUUAACCCGUACAAUAUACGGGUUCAUAAAGUUAUAACUUUUUAUUAUUUAAUAUAUAAAAUUACAUUUAUUUAACCCGUGUAAUACACGGGUUUCUAACCUAGUUGUAUGUAAUAAACAAGUACCUGUGAUCAUAGUCUUCUACUUGGAUGCAUGGGAUAUGAGAGAUGAGGGGGCAAUAGUGUUGGGUUGUGGAGGAUUUGACUAGCAGGGGUGUUCUUAGUUACACUCCUGCAUCUAGCAGGAGUGUUCUCUGUUAAUGUAGUUUAAAGUCAACAACCCUAAUUGUUCCUCCUAAAUAUACUUCUCAUGCAUGUCUGUAAUUUUUUUGAGCACCUAAUAAAGAAGAGAACUAGUUGUGGGAGUGGAUGUAGAUCAAGCUUGAUCGAACCACUAUAAAUCUUGUAUUCUUGUGAUUUAGAGUGUGUGAGCUUGUUGUGCUUGUUCUUGUGUUUGUGUGAUUCGUGAUAUAGCCCUAACAACUGGUAUCAGAGCUCAGGCUCUUGAUCGAUUCAUACGAACUAGGUAAGAGGUGAAGAAGAACAACACUUACAUGUUGAAGAAGAAGCCGUGGUCUCGGGUUUCAGUCACAGUCGCAGACAUCACGAUUAGGGUUUCUGAACCAUUUAAUUUGGUUUAAAUGUAAAUUUAUUGAUUUUGUUGAUGCUUCCCUGCUGAAUUAGCAUGAUUGUAAGCAAAUAAACAAAAAGUUUGAUUUUCUUGUUCAUUGAACUGAAUUGUUGCUGCACUGCUGUUCUUUAUGUUGGAUGGUUAUUGA
RNAcentral lists this long non-coding RNA (1079 nucleotides) under Helianthus annuus (common sunflower). RNAcentral's name for it is "hypothetical non coding rna". The record is from RNAcentral. Lineage: Eukaryota; Viridiplantae; Streptophyta; Magnoliopsida; Asterales; Asteraceae.